CCCGCUGAACUUAAGCAUAUCAAUAAGCGGAGGAAAAGAAACUAACAAGGAUUCCCCUAGUAACGGCGAGUGAAGCGGGAGCAGCUCAAAUUUGAAAUCUGGCGUCCUUAGGGCGUCCGGAUUGUAUUCUAGAGAAGCGUCUUCCACGCUGGUCCGUGUAUAAGUGCCCUGGAACGGGCCGUCAUAGAGGGUGAGAAUCCCGUCCUUGACGUGGGCUACCAGUGUUUUUGUGAUGCGCUUUCUAAAAGCCAAGUUGUUUGGAAUUGCAGCUCAAAGUGGGUGGAAAAUUCCUUCUAAGGCUAAUUAUUGCCCUGAAACCGAUGCCGAACAAGUCCCGGGAGGAAAAAAUGAAAAGAACUUUGAAAAAAGAGUCAACACAGUACGUGAAAUUGCUGAAAGGAAAACGCUGGAGGCCGGCCCCGCCCCCAGGAAUUCACCCCUGCUUUUGUUGGGGGUACUUUCCAGGCGGCGGGCCAGCAUCAGUUUUGACCGGCGGAUAAAGGCUGAGGGAAUGUGGCUCCUUCGGGAGUGUUAUAGCCCCUGGUCACAUAUGCCGGUUGGGACUGAGGAACUCAGCGCGCCGCAUGUGCCAGGCCUUCAAGCACUUUCGCGCUUAGGAUGCUGGCAUAAUGGCUUUAAGCGACCCGUCUUGAAACACGG
This 660-nucleotide ribosomal RNA is filed under the name uncultured fungus. Its description in RNAcentral is "eukaryotic LSU rRNA". It matches the Rfam family "Eukaryotic large subunit ribosomal RNA", at positions 24 to 664 of the family's 3401-position model. Lineage: Eukaryota; Fungi. The record is from RNAcentral.